This 68-nucleotide transfer RNA is filed under the name Marmota monax (woodchuck). RNAcentral's name for it is "tRNA.Thr". Lineage: Eukaryota; Metazoa; Chordata; Mammalia; Rodentia; Sciuridae. The record is from RNAcentral.
GGUUGAAGCUCAGUGGAAGAGUGCUUCCCUAGUACAUGAGAGGCCCUGGGUUCAAUCCCCAGGGAUUG